UGCUCCCUGAUUUAGCGGCGGACGGGUGAGUAAUGCCUAGGAAUCUGCCUGGUAGUGGGGGAUAACGUCCGGAAACGGGCGCUAAUACCGCAUACGUCCUACGGGAGAAAGCAGGGGACCUUCGGGCCUUGCGCUAUCAGAUGAGCCUAGGUCGGAUUAGCUAGUUGGUGAGGUAAUGGCUCACCAAGGCGACGAUCCGUAACUGGUCUGAGAGGAUGAUCAGUCACACUGGAACUGAGACACGGUCCAGACUCCUACGGGAGGCAGCAGUGGGGAAUAUUGGACAAUGGGCGAAAGCCUGAUCCAGCCAUGCCGCGUGUGUGAAGAAGGUCUUCGGAUUGUAAAGCACUUUAAGUUGGGAGGAAGGGCAGUAAGCUAAUACCUUGCUGUUUUGACGUUACCGACAGAAUAAGCACCGGCUAACUUCGUGCCAGCAGCCGCGGUAAUACGAAGGGUGCAAGCGUUAAUCGGAAUUACUGGGCGUAAAGCGCGCGUAGGUGGUUCGUUAAGUUGGAUGUGAAAGCCCCGGGCUCAACCUGGGAACUGCAUCCAAAACUGGCGAGCUAGAGUACGGUAGAGGGUGGUGGAAUUUCCUGUGUAGCGGUGAAAUGCGUAGAUAUAGGAAGGAACACCAGUGGCGAAGGCGACCACCUGGACUGAUACUGACACUGAGGUGCGAAAGC
RNAcentral lists this ribosomal RNA (683 nucleotides) under Pseudomonas sp. YB1. RNAcentral's name for it is "bacterial SSU rRNA". It matches the Rfam family "Bacterial small subunit ribosomal RNA", at positions 81 to 760 of the family's 1533-position model. Lineage: Bacteria; Pseudomonadati; Pseudomonadota; Gammaproteobacteria; Pseudomonadales; Pseudomonadaceae. The record is from RNAcentral.